This 376-nucleotide ribosomal RNA is filed under the name uncultured delta proteobacterium. Its description in RNAcentral is "bacterial SSU rRNA". It matches the Rfam family "Bacterial small subunit ribosomal RNA", at positions 485 to 859 of the family's 1533-position model. Lineage: Bacteria; Deltaproteobacteria. The record is from RNAcentral.
AGGAAGCACCGGCUAACUCCGUGCCAGCAGCCGCGGUAAUACGGGGGGUGCAAGCGUUGUUCGGAAUUAUUGGGCGUAAAGAGCGUGUAGGCGGCCGGAUAUGUCAGAUGUGAAAGCCCUGGGCUUAACCCAGGAAGUGCAUUUGAAACUGUCCGGCUUGAGUAGGGGAGAGGGAAGUGGAAUUCCUGGUGUAGAGGUGAAGUUCGUAGAUAUCAGGAGGAACACCGGUGGCGAAGGCGACUUCCUGGCCCUAUACUGACGCUGAGACGCGAGAGCGUGGGUAGCAAACAGGAUUAGAUACCCUGGUAGUCCACGCCGUAAACGAUGUUCACUAGGUGUUGGGGGUAUUGACCCCCUCAGUGCCGGAGCUAACGCA